GCAGUCGCCGCGGUAAUACGUAGGUGGCGAGCGUUGUCCGGAAUCAUUGGGCGUAAAGGGAGCGCAGGCGGGCAUGUAAGUCUUUCUUAAAAGUGCGGGGCUCAACCCCGUGAUGGGAAAGAAACUAUGUGUCUUGAGUACAGGAGAGGAAAGCGGAAUUCCCAGUGUAGCGGUGAAAUGCGUAGAUAUUGGGAGGAACACCAGUGGCGAAGGCGGCUUUCUGGACCGCAACUGACGCUGAGGCUCGAAAGCCAGGGGAGCGAACGGGAUUAGAUACCCGAGUAGUCCCUGUCUCUUAUACC
Molecule: ribosomal RNA, 302 nt
Filed under: uncultured bacterium
Lineage: Bacteria
Description: partial 16S ribosomal RNA
Rfam family: Bacterial small subunit ribosomal RNA
Source: RNAcentral